This 274-nucleotide ribosomal RNA is filed under the name uncultured bacterium. RNAcentral's name for it is "partial 16S ribosomal RNA". It matches the Rfam family "Bacterial small subunit ribosomal RNA", at positions 523 to 796 of the family's 1533-position model. The record is from RNAcentral.
AUACGGAGGGUGCGAGCGUUGUUCGGAAUCACUGGGCGUAAAGGGCGCGCAGGCGGUUUGUCAAGUCAGAUGUGAAAGGCCACGGCUCAACCGUGGUGGUGCAUCUGAAACUGGCAGACUUGAGUACCGGAGGGGAAAGUGGAAUUCCCGGUGUAGAGGUGAAAUUCGUAGAUAUCGGGAGGAACACCGGAGGCGAAGGCGACUUUCUGGACGGAUACUGACGCUGAGGCGCGAAAGCGUGGGGAGCAAACAGGAUUAGAAACCCUAGUAGUCC